GGUCCAAUGGUGUAGCGGUUAUCACGUCUGCUUUACACGCAGAAGGUCGGCGGUUCGAUCCCGCCUUGGAUCA
Molecule: non-coding RNA, 73 nt
Organism: Gongylonema pulchrum
Lineage: Eukaryota; Metazoa; Nematoda; Chromadorea; Rhabditida; Gongylonematidae
Source: Rfam